CCGCGUUACAGAGCUACAGCGGUCUCCGGGUGGCGAAGUGCGGAGACGGGGUUUUGGAGACGGUGGAUGGAGGAGGGGGAGGGAAAGCUGCCAACUUUGGAUACCAACCCCGUACACCCAUCGAAGGGGAUGUCCCACUUUUUCCAGCGCUGGGAGCAAAAAGAUAACAGUGAGCGAGGUUGAAAACACCUGACAGUGAAAAGAGCAAUUUGAAGAAAAACAAAAUUUAUCUUCAAUGUGAAAAGCAAUUUAUAAAAAUCCGAAUACUUGCCAGGAGCAACUUGACAAAAAAGACAAAGGUGGUAGGAGAAAUGUAACCAGCCCACAAUUCCAAUGUUGAUAACAGAUGAGCUCCCUUUCAAGGUGACUGACAUUUACACAAGUAUACAGAGCAAGAAGAAGGUCUGAGUGAACUGCCAAGCAUUUUAACUUCUCCUGAGACCAAGUACAUCAACAGUUCUCUUGGAAAAGAACAACUGAUUUGGGAGUCCAGCAGACUGCCAGCUGCAAGACAUUCAUCCAGCAUCAGGAACACAAUGGGCCUUCAUUUGCCUGCCUUUCUGAGGGCACCAAUCAAAAGUAACAGCUGCCACCUUUUUCUAUGAGACUUGAUUAUAAUUUUCUAUGGCCAAGGGUUUGCUGUGACACUUCCACAUCAUUCUUCAGUAUGUAGUCCAGAGAUUAGCUACAGAUUCAAGAAACACAGACUGUAAACUAUUAUAUACAGACAUAUCUCAAAAUAAGCAUACCCAUUAGUGCCAGCUGCCCUGAAAGACUGAAUGACCGCAGCUAUUUUCCAAAUGUUUUUUCAGAAAGCCAUGAACACACCUUUCUGGGAUCCUAUCUAUUUCAAAGACAGGCAAAGCUCUGUGGUUCAGUUCCACCACCCAGUACCAAGCCCACAGUAUGCAGACCAUACGCCUUACACAUGGCCUUUUCUCUUUAUGUAAUUGCUGUACCAUAUUCAGCAGAUCUAGACUGACUCAAAGCAUGUUCCCUCAAGAAGCUCCACAGAAAAAAAGGUUUCUGUGAUCAAAAAUCAUUUGGGAAAUGCUGCAAACCCUAUCUCCCUCUUAGAGCUUAACCAUGCAUGUCGGGGCAUAAUAUAAACCUUUUCCAGUCUGGGCCACAGAGUGAGACCCCACCUCUAAAAUAAUAAAUCAAUAAACUCUUGAGAAGUACACAGAAAAGAAACUUCUGUAACUUUUUAGGUCUUAAUUACAAGCAAUUGUAGCUUAAUCUAAACUUGCUCUUCACUUUAUUUCUAUACUCUUGAAAACUAGUGACAUAAGCCUUAUGAAUUUUUUGUUUGUUUGUUUCUUCUUUUUUUAAGAGAGAGACAGGGUCUCAUUCUGUUGCUCAGGUUGGAGUGCAGAGGCACAAUCAUAGCUCACCGUAACCUUGAAUUCCUAGUCUCAAGUAAUCCUCCCAUCUCAGCCUCCCUAAUAACUAGGACUACAGGCACAUACCACCACAUCUGGCUAGUGUGUGUGUGUGUGUGUGUGUGUGUGUGUGUGUAAAGACAGGGGUCUCAUUAUGUUCCCCAGGCUGGUCUUGAACUCCUGGGCUUAAGCGAUCCUCCCACCGCAGCCUCCCAAAACUUUGGGAUUACAGGCAUGAGCCACUACACCUGGCUGGAUUAUUCUUUCUUUAAAAAAAUUUUUUUGGCCGGGCGCCGUGGCUCACGCCUGUAAUCCCAGCACUUUGAGGGGCCGAGGCGGGCGAAUCACGAGGUCAGGAGAUAGAGACCAUCCUGGCUAACACGGUGAAACCCCGUCUUUACUAAAAAAAAUAC
RNAcentral lists this long non-coding RNA (1795 nucleotides) under Pan troglodytes (chimpanzee). RNAcentral describes it as "lincRNA". The record is from RNAcentral. Lineage: Eukaryota; Metazoa; Chordata; Mammalia; Primates; Hominidae.